CCUACGGGGGGCUGCAGUCUAGAGGCUUCGGCAAUGGGCGAAAGCCUGACCGAGCGACGCCGCGUGCAGGAUGAAGGUCUUCGGAUUGUAAACUGCUUUCGGCCGGAAAGAAGGCUUUGGUGGCGAACCAGAGUUUGACUGACCGGCGGAAGAAGCCCCGGCUAACUUCGUGCCAGCAGCCGCGGUAAUACGAAGGGGGCAAGCGUUAUUCGGAUUUAUUGGGCGUAAAGGGCGUGUAGGCGGCUUGGGAAGUCUGGUGUGAAAACGCUACCGCU
Molecule: ribosomal RNA, 275 nt
Filed under: uncultured bacterium
Lineage: Bacteria
Description: partial 16S ribosomal RNA
Rfam family: Bacterial small subunit ribosomal RNA
Source: RNAcentral